Molecule: ribosomal RNA, 303 nt
Filed under: uncultured bacterium
Lineage: Bacteria
Description: bacterial SSU rRNA
Rfam family: Bacterial small subunit ribosomal RNA
Source: RNAcentral
CAGCAGCCGCGGUAAUACGAAGGGGGCUAGCGUUGCUCGGAAUCACUGGGCGUAAAGGGUGCGUAGGCGGAUCUUUAAGUCAGAGGUGAAAGCCUGUAGCUCAACUCCAAAUCUGCCUUUGAUACUGCUGAUCUUGAGUUCUGUAGAGGUGAGUGGAACUCCGGGUGUAGAGGUGAAAUUCGUAGAUAUUCGCAAGAACACCAUGGCGAAGGCGGCUUGCUGGCCCGAUACUGACGCUGAGGCACGAAAGCGUGGGGAGCAAACAGGAUUAGAUACCCUGGUAGUCCACGCCGUAAACGAUGA